AGAAUCAACGCUGGCGGCGUGCCUAACACAUGCAAGUCGAACGAGAAAGUGGAGCAAUCCAUGAGUAAAGUAGGCGCACGGGUGAGUAACACGUGACUAACCUACCCUGGAGUGGGGGAUAACUGAGGGAAACCUUAGCUAAUACCGCAUAACACCUACGGGUCAAAGGAGCAAUUCGCUUUAGGAGGGGUCGCGGCAGAUUAGUUAGUUGGCGGGGUAAUGGCCCACCAAGACGGUGAUCUGUA
This 245-nucleotide ribosomal RNA is filed under the name uncultured bacterium. RNAcentral's name for it is "partial small subunit ribosomal RNA". It matches the Rfam family "Bacterial small subunit ribosomal RNA", at positions 26 to 285 of the family's 1533-position model. The record is from RNAcentral.